Molecule: transfer RNA, 75 nt
Filed under: Bacillus phage P59
Lineage: Duplodnaviria; Heunggongvirae; Uroviricota; Caudoviricetes; Herelleviridae
Description: tRNA-Gln
Rfam family: tRNA
About the family: Transfer RNA (tRNA) molecules are approximately 80 nucleotides in length. Their secondary structure includes four short double-helical elements and three loops (D, anti-codon, and T loops).
Source: RNAcentral
UGCCGGGUAGCCAAGCGGUAAGGCACAGGACUUUGACUCCUGUAUGCGUAGGUUCGAAUCCUGCCCCGGUAGCCA